Python bivittatus (Burmese python) is the source of this 457-nucleotide non-coding RNA. Lineage: Eukaryota; Metazoa; Chordata; Lepidosauria; Squamata; Pythonidae. The record is from RefSeq and is a predicted model, not a curated record.
CACUACAAUUUUGUUCCUGUACCAGACAGGUAAUGCUGAGAGACACUUAUCCAGAGCCAUUCCACCAGCAUUGUCUGCUGAGAUUUUAACUUCUUUUCUUCUGCUCAAUCCUCUAAAGAUACCCCAAAACUGAGGAAUCAGAGCAACCAAGGUCAGAGGUCAAGCCAGGGGUGGAAUAAUUUUGGUAUAUUGGAGUGGAUCAGAUUUCUCCAUAAUAUGAUGACUGCAUCUGAAGAAGGAAACAGCUGUCAGUCACCAUGCAUGCAUGACCAUGUUAGGUCUGCUAAAGUACCCGACACAGCUCAGCCCUCAGCUACUUAGUGCUAACUGUGGGGUCAAUGCUUCUCCUUUUGGAUGACCAACCAUAGCCCUGUGUACUGCAUCAACAAGCAGCAUGACAUGUCCUUGCUUUUGCAGAUGUUGUGCAGUAUCAUACAAAUAAUAAUAAAAAUAAUAA